GUGGGGACCGGGCGGCAGGGGCAGGCCGAACGUGCUCGUGUCGCCCACAGGUGGCAAGAAGAAGCCACUGAAACAGCCCAAGAAGCAGGCCAAGGAGAUGGACGAGAUAAGGCUUUCAAGCAGAAACAAAAAGAGGAGCAGAAGAAACUCGAGGAGCUAAAAGCGAAGGCCGCGGGGAAGGGGCCCUUGGGUGGAAUUAAGAAAUCUGGCAAAAAGUAAGCUGUUCCUUGUGCCUGAGGAGAUGGUGACCCUUUAUUUCAUCUGUAUUUAAACCUCUCUAUUCCCUGCCAUAACAUCUUUUGCCACGUAUAGCUGGAAUUAAGUGUUGUCUUGGAGCUGUUGUACAUUUAAGAAUAAACUUUUGUAAAAAAAAAAAAAAAAAAUCUUACAGUGGCUCAUCAUCUCUUUAGUUGUUUUCACUAAGUCAUUCCUACCAUAACUGUGAAUUUAAAGUAAAACCAGCUCAGAAUCUUGCCAGAGUCUGUUCUUUGGUCCUUGUUCUACCCUAAACUUUGUAUCACCUGAAAUUAAACCAACUCAUUUGAAAGGAU
RNAcentral lists this long non-coding RNA (551 nucleotides) under Pan troglodytes (chimpanzee). Its description in RNAcentral is "long non-coding RNA NONPTRT011388". The record is from RNAcentral. Lineage: Eukaryota; Metazoa; Chordata; Mammalia; Primates; Hominidae.